CCCUUAGAUGUCCUGGGCCGCACGCGCGCUACACUGAUGCAUUCAACGAGUCUACCUUGGCCGAGAGGCCUGGGCAACCUUUUAAACGUGCAUCGUGAUAGGGAUAGAUUAUUGCAAUUAUUAAUCUUGAACGAGGAAUUCCUAGUAAGCGCAAAUCAUCAAUUUGCAUUGAUUACGUCCCUGCACUUUGUACACACCGCCCGUCGCACCUACCGAUUGAAUGGUCCGGUGAGGACUCGGGAUUUUUACCAGUUUCCUUCAUUGGGAAUUGGUGAGGAGAACUUGUCCAAACCUUAUCAUUUAGAGGAAGGUGAAGUCGUAACA
This 324-nucleotide ribosomal RNA is filed under the name uncultured eukaryote. Its description in RNAcentral is "partial 18S ribosomal RNA". It matches the Rfam family "Eukaryotic small subunit ribosomal RNA", at positions 1470 to 1796 of the family's 1831-position model. The record is from RNAcentral.